Molecule: ribosomal RNA, 2923 nt
Filed under: Klebsiella pneumoniae
Lineage: Bacteria; Pseudomonadati; Pseudomonadota; Gammaproteobacteria; Enterobacterales; Enterobacteriaceae
Description: 23S ribosomal RNA
Rfam family: Bacterial large subunit ribosomal RNA
Source: RNAcentral
GGGUUGUGAGGUUAAGCGACUAAGCGUACACGGUGGAUGCCCUGGCAGUCAGAGGCGAUGAAGGACGUGCUAAUCUGCGAAAAGCGUCGGUAAGGUGAUAUGAACCGUUAUAACCGGCGAUGUCCGAAUGGGGAAACCCAGUGUGAUUCGUCACACUAUCGUUAACUGAAUACAUAGGUUAACGAGGCGAACCGGGGGAACUGAAACAUCUAAGUACCCCGAGGAAAAGAAAUCAACCGAGAUUCCCCCAGUAGCGGCGAGCGAACGGGGAGCAGCCCAGAGUCUGAAUCAGCUUGUGUGUUAGUGGAACGGUCUGGAAAGUCCGACGGUACAGGGUGAUAGUCCCGUACACCAAAAUGCACAGGUUGUGAACUCGAAGAGUAGGGCGGGACACGUGGUAUCCUGUCUGAAUAUGGGGGGACCAUCCUCCAAGGCUAAAUACUCCUGACUGACCGAUAGUGAACCAGUACCGUGAGGGAAAGGCGAAAAGAACCCCGGCGAGGGGAGUGAAAAAGAACCUGAAACCGUGUACGUACAAGCAGUGGGAGCACCUUCGGGUGUGACUGCGUACCUUUUGUAUAAUGGGUCAGCGACUUAUAUUCUGUAGCAAGGUUAACCGUAUAGGGGAGCCGCAGGGAAACCGAGUCUUAACUGGGCGUUAAGUUGCAGGGUAUAGACCCGAAACCCGGUGAUCUAGCCAUGGGCAGGUUGAAGGUUGGGUAACACUAACUGGAGGACCGAACCGACUAAUGUUGAAAAAUUAGCGGAUGACUUGUGGCUGGGGGUGAAAGGCCAAUCAAACCGGGAGAUAGCUGGUUCUCCCCGAAAGCUAUUUAGGUAGCGCCUCGUGAACUCAUCUUCGGGGGUAGAGCACUGUUUCGGCUAGGGGGUCAUCCCGACUUACCAACCCGAUGCAAACUACGAAUACCGAAGAAUGUUAUCACGGGAGACACACGGCGGGUGCUAACGUCCGUCGUGAAGAGGGAAACAACCCAGACCGCCAGCUAAGGUCCCAAAGUCAUGGUUAAGUGGGAAACGAUGUGGGAAGGCACAGACAGCCAGGAUGUUGGCUUAGAAGCAGCCAUCAUUUAAAGAAAGCGUAAUAGCUCACUGGUCGAGUCGGCCUGCGCGGAAGAUGUAACGGGGCUAAACCAUGCACCGAAGCUGCGGCAGCGACACUAUGUGUUGUUGGGUAGGGGAGCGUUCUGUAAGCCUGCGAAGGUGUGCUGUGAGGCAUGCUGGAGGUAUCAGAAGUGCGAAUGCUGACAUAAGUAACGAUAAAGCGGGUGAAAAGCCCGCUCGCCGGAAGACCAAGGGUUCCUGUCCAACGUUAAUCGGGGCAGGGUGAGUCGACCCCUAAGGCGAGGCCGAAAGGCGUAGUCGAUGGGAAACAGGUUAAUAUUCCUGUACUUGGUGUUACUGCGAAGGGGGGACGGAGAAGGCUAUGUUAGCCGGGCGACGGUUGUCCCGGUUUAAGCAUGUAGGCUGGUUGUCCAGGCAAAUCCGGAUAAUCAAGGCUGAGGUGUGAUGACGAGGCACUACGGUGCUGAAGUAACAAAUGCCCUGCUUCCAGGAAAAGCCUCUAAGCAUCAGGUAACAUCAAAUCGUACCCCAAACCGACACAGGUGGUCAGGUAGAGAAUACCAAGGCGCUUGAGAGAACUCGGGUGAAGGAACUAGGCAAAAUGGUGCCGUAACUUCGGGAGAAGGCACGCUGGUGUGUAGGUGAAGCCCCUGCGGGUGGAGCUGAGACCAGUCGAAGAUACCAGCUGGCUGCAACUGUUUAUUAAAAACACAGCACUGUGCAAACACGAAAGUGGACGUAUACGGUGUGACGCCUGCCCGGUGCCGGAAGGUUAAUUGAUGGGGUUAUCCGUAAGGAGAAGCUCUUGAUCGAAGCCCCGGUAAACGGCGGCCGUAACUAUAACGGUCCUAAGGUAGCGAAAUUCCUUGUCGGGUAAGUUCCGACCUGCACGAAUGGCGUAAUGAUGGCCAGGCUGUCUCCACCCGAGACUCAGUGAAAUUGAACUCGCUGUGAAGAUGCAGUGUACCCGCGGCAAGACGGAAAGACCCCGUGAACCUUUACUAUAGCUUGACACUGAACAUUGAGCCUUGAUGUGUAGGAUAGGUGGGAGGCUUUGAAGCGUGGACGCCAGUCUGCGUGGAGCCAACCUUGAAAUACCACCCUUUAAUGUUUGAUGUUCUAACGUUGGCCCCUGACCGGGGUUGCGGACAGUGUCUGGUGGGUAGUUUGACUGGGGCGGUCUCCUCCCAAAGCGUAACGGAGGAGCACGAAGGUUAGCUAAUCCUGGUCGGACAUCAGGAGGUUAGUGCAAUGGCAUAAGCUAGCUUGACUGCGAGCGUGACGGCGCGAGCAGGUGCGAAAGCAGGUCAUAGUGAUCCGGUGGUUCUGAAUGGAAGGGCCAUCGCUCAACGGAUAAAAGGUACUCCGGGGAUAACAGGCUGAUACCGCCCAAGAGUUCAUAUCGACGGCGGUGUUUGGCACCUCGAUGUCGGCUCAUCACAUCCUGGGGCUGAAGUAGGUCCCAAGGGUAUGGCUGUUCGCCAUUUAAAGUGGUACGCGAGCUGGGUUUAGAACGUCGUGAGACAGUUCGGUCCCUAUCUGCCGUGGGCGCUGGAGAAUUGAGGGGGGCUGCUCCUAGUACGAGAGGACCGGAGUGGACGCAUCACUGGUGUUCGGGUUGUCAUGCCAAUGGCACUGCCCGGUAGCUAAAUGCGGAAGAGAUAAGUGCUGAAAGCAUCUAAGCACGAAACUUGCCCCGAGAUGAGUUCUCCCUGAGACUAUAAGUCUCCUGAAGGAACGUUAAAGACGAUGACGUUGAUAGGCCGGGUGUGUAAGCGCAGCGAUGCGUUGAGCUAACCGGUACUAAUGAACCGUGAGGCUUAACCUUACAACGCCGAAG